AGCAGUAAGCGAAGGCAGAUCCUUACGCCGGGAUCGCCCAAUCGCAGAGGUGGGCAGUUUGUAUAAAAGCUCGAGCCUCACGCUUCAUUAGUCUUUUGGGAUCAGGUGGUACCUGGGAAUGUGGAUUUUUGCUGGUUGCAUGCCCCACGAUCUGGGGCGAAAGUGUUCGCCGAGUGAGGCUAGGGAGGUGUCCCAAACCCACAGUCAGCUCGAGCUCGCUGGUCCAGCCUCCGCCUGAACUCCUCUUUGGUCCUCAACGUUCUGUGCGUUUCUUCCCCACGCUCCUGCCAGUUUCGUCGGGGAAGCCUGAAUUUCUAGAUAUACUUCUUCCUACAGGGCUGGGUUCAACAGAAGGAGAAGCAUUAAAAGGACUCAAGAAGGGUGAUUGGCUCCAGCACACCCAGAAUGAGGACAUGACGGCAGAAUCCUCCAGUAACAGCCCCCGUGGCCCCACAGGGAGCUGGAGCUGUCUUGAUCAGCCAUCUUGGCUUCCUGUCAGUUUCCUUCCCUCUUAAGGGAUCAGGCAACUGUAUGCACUGCCCCUGCACUGGCUUCCGCUGAGAACUCUUUCCUAGGUAGUAGGCAAGAUCCCUCCUAAGCUUUGGGCCCUAUAACAGGUCUCUACCCAGCCUGCUAACAUCAGGACUGUCAGUGACUCGGCUGGAGACCUCUAGUGCUAGAUGGAUGGGGACCUGGUCUCUGGCACACCCGACGUGACAGUUAAAUUAGACCCACAGCUGGGGGCCUCUUCCAGUAGGAUAGAUGAAGACCUCAUUAAGGAUAUGUUACUACACAGACAAUUUGGGACAACAGUACUUUUCUUCUAGUCUACACUUGCCAGGUAAUAGAGCCAGCCCCUCACUCCACUGUUCUUGGGUCUCCUGGUCUAGCAGGACUGGCCACAGGAGGACUUGGAUUGCAUGCUUUUCUCAGCUAGCUAUACUGCCCAGACCUUUAGCCAAUCCCAGUGCCCUGGUGGCCAUGGUCUUACAAAACCAUGGCGCCUUAGAUCUCACUGCAAGCCAGGAGGGAACAUUUUACUACAAGCGGGUGCCAGAAGAGAUGAAAGGCCUGCUGGAACAGGCAGCAAACAAACGGGUGAGGAACUUGGCUGGUGAUGACCCCAUGCCUGCCUUGGCUCUUGCCUUUUCUUGGCCCCACUGUGACUACCCUUUUGGCCCUACUUUUUGGACCAUGCUUACUUAAAAUACUUCAUUUCAAAUCAUCUCCAGCAACUUCAAAAUAAAAUCUGUUGCUGUGUGGUUGGAAGCCCACCUUGGGGUCAGAUUAUCUAGAUUUUGAACAGAACAGAUAGAGACCUCUACUCUGGCUAGACUGGCCAGUGCCCCCAUACAGCAGGAAAAACCUACAGAAAAUAGACAUCUCAGCUCACUUCCCCAAGUAUGGAGUCUUGGGAAGGUGAGUGGUUAGGCGGACUCACCUUGGCUUAUUAACAGAAGUACCAGUUAGUCAGCGGACAGAGACCAAAUUGGAAAGCCCAUCAAGUGUGUGGGUCCUUGUCUGCCAGUUUAAAUCUUCACUAGAGGCAGAGGGACAGUGAAAAGGAACUCUUAUAUUCAGACAAGGGAAAACACUAUAAAGCAGGGAGCCCUUCUCCAGGUCAAGACAGCGCCAGCCCCUGGUCAGACUGUUACUGGAAGACUUGUCAUUAAUUCAGUGGUGCUAGUCAGCCUCUAUUGUGGACUCUUGCCUCCUGUGGAGCUCAGCCCUAAAACUUUGGUGGGAAAGA
Molecule: long non-coding RNA, 1750 nt
Organism: Camelus dromedarius (Arabian camel)
Lineage: Eukaryota; Metazoa; Chordata; Mammalia; Artiodactyla; Camelidae
Exons: 3
Source: RefSeq, a predicted model, not a curated record